RNAcentral lists this ribosomal RNA (253 nucleotides) under uncultured bacterium. RNAcentral describes it as "partial 16S ribosomal RNA". It matches the Rfam family "Bacterial small subunit ribosomal RNA", at positions 524 to 776 of the family's 1533-position model. The record is from RNAcentral.
UACGGGGGGGGCUAGCGUUGUUCGGAAUUACUGGGCGUAAAGGGCGCGUAGGCGGUCUAUUAAGUUGAAUGUGAAAACUCUGGGCUUAACCCAGAGCCUGCAUUCAAAACUGAUAGGCUGGAGUUCUGGAGGGGAUAGCGGAAUUCCUGGUGUAGCGGUGAAAUGCGUAGAUAUCAGGAGGAACACCGGUGGCGAAGGCGGCUAUCUGGACAGAAACUGACGCUGAGGCGCGAAAGCUAGGGGAGCAAACAGG